AUGCAUUUACUCGUCGUGCCCACGUGCUGCCUCUCCUCCACUUCGCCUCAUCCGCAACUACCAAAGCUUCCGCGGCCGCUGCCUCGCAGCCUCGGGCACUCCGCGUCGCCGCGCUUCGGCGUCCCCUUCCGCCGGGCCGUGGUGCCCCCCGCCAUGCGCCGCCGCGGGCGACGGAGGGCGGCGGCCCCUCCCCCGGCCGCCGCUGCCGCAGGAGAGGCCUCCAGCGACUCCCCUGGUCCUCCAGGAGGCGAGGACAAGAGAGCUGGUACAGACCUCAAAACGCUAGCUAGAAGAUUCUGGAAAGUUGCCGCGCCUUACUGGUGGUCAGAGGAUAAGGCCCAAGCAAGGCUGCAGCUUGCUGGUGUAUUUGCGCUCACGCUGGCGACUACAGGGAUCAGCGUUGGAUUCAACUUUCUGGGCCGUGAUUUCUACAACGCCCUCGCCGACAAGGACCAGGAACAAUUUACGAAGCAACUGCUGUACUACUUGGGAGGUUUCGCUGUAGGAGUUCCGUUCUUUGUCUUGAGGGACUAUGCAAGAGAAACCCUCUCUUUAAGAUGGCGAUCUUGGAUGACAAGUUAUUACAUGAAGCGCUACUUUAAGAACAGAACAUUCUACAAGAUUCAGUCUCAAUCACUAAUAGACAAUCCAGACCAGCGGAUCAAUGAUGAUCUAAGUGCAUUUACUGGAACUGCGCUUGCAUUUUCCCUGACACUUCUCAACGCUGUCGUGGAUUUGGUAUCAUUCAGCAAUAUCCUUUAUGGAAUCUAUCCGCCAUUAUUCGUUGUUCUUAUUGUUUAUUCUCUUGGAGGGACCGCUAUUAGUGUCUUCCUUGGUAAGAGUUUGGUCAACUUGAACUUCAUGCAAGAAAAGAAAGAAGCUGAUUUCCGUUACGGGCUUGUCCGUGUUAGAGAAAAUGCUGAAUCAAUUGCCUUUUACGGCGGUGAGGAAAAUGAAUUGCAACUUCUGUUGGAUAGGUUCAGGAGGGCUUACCAAAACCUAAGUGAAUUACUGAUAGCAUCCCGAAAUCUGGAGUUCUUCACCAAUGGUUACCGAUAUUUAAUUCAAAUCUUGCCAGCUGCAGUUGUUGCUCCAAUGUUUUUUGCAGGAAAGAUCGAGUUUGGAGUGAUAAACCAAUCGGUGUCUGCUUUCAAUCACAUCCUCAGUGAUUUUUCUCUCAUUGUUUUCCAGUUUCAGUCAAUUAGUGCAUUCUCAGCUGUCAUUGAUCGUUUAGGUGAAUUUGAUGAUCUAUUGGGUGAAAAUGAGUCUUCUCUGUCACCCCAACGUGAUAGUAUUGAUGGGAUCAACAUUUCUUUCAAGAGCGGCAGUCCUUCUGUUCUUAGUUCUAAUGGCUCACAAAUGCAAUCUGAUCCAUGCAUAGUUCUAGAGAUUUGUGAUUUGACAUUGUUAACACCCAGGGGCGGAAAUAUUCUUAUUACUGACUUCAAUAUGGAAUUAAAAGACAAGGACCACCUACUGGUGAUGGGGCCCAGCGGCUGUGGGAAGACCUCGUUGCUGCGUGCUUUUGCUGGCCUUUGGACUAGUGGCACUGGGAAUAUCAUAUACCAUGCCAGAGAUUCUAGGCAGCUUCAGACAGCAAAUUUAGUUUCUAAUGAGCCAUCCAACAUGAAGCCAGAGGGUGAAGAACUACUACAAAGUUCCAAGCAGAGAAGAGAUAAUGGCAUAUUUUUUGUCCCACAAAGACCAUAUAUGGUUUUGGGAACUCUUCGUCAGCAAUUGCUCUAUCCUACAUGGACUGCAAAUAUACAUCAGGCACCAACUAAUGAUGCUCAAAGCAAAGCUCCUCUUUCCUUUCUGUCUGAAGUCUCCACGUCAGAUGGAGUGGGUGCCAAGCCUGAGAUGCCCUCAACUGAUGAACUGAUCCAAGUACUUGAGGUUGUUAGGCUGGGCUACAUAUUGCCACGUUUCAAUGGCAUGGAUUCUGUCCAUGAUUGGGCCAGUGUUCUUUCGCUAGGGGAGCAGCAGCGUCUUGCAUUUGCUCGGUUGUUGCUCGCAAAACCAACUCUGGUCCUACUGGACGAGUCCACAAGUGCACUAGAUGAUACAAAUGAGGUUCAUUUAUACAGUCAGAUUGAAGCUGCAGGGAUUACAUAUAUAAGUGUGGGUCACCGGAAAACACUUCACAGGUUCCACAACAAGGUUUUGUACAUUUCAAAGUCCGACUCAACAACUGGCAGCCUUCGUAAUUGGGAGUUAAAGCCAACAGACCAGAAAUCAAUUGAAGAAUCGUCCCCAUUCGCUUCAUAA
Molecule: ribosomal RNA, 2268 nt
Filed under: Triticum aestivum (bread wheat)
Lineage: Eukaryota; Viridiplantae; Streptophyta; Magnoliopsida; Poales; Poaceae
Description: partial small subunit ribosomal RNA
Source: RNAcentral